CCCCUAGAUGUUCUGGGCCGCACGCGCGCUACACUGAACAGUUCAACAAGUCUUAACCUUGGCCGAUAGGUCUGGGUAAUCUUUGAACGCUGUUCGUGAUUGGGAUAGACCUUUGCAAUUAUGGGUCUUCAACGAGGAAUUCCUAGUAAACGCAAGUCAUCAGCUUGCAUUGAUUACGUCCCUGCCCUUUGUACACACUGCCCGUCGCACCUACCGAUUGAAUGGUCCGGUGAAAUCUCGGGACGGCGGCUCGGUCGCUUGCGUCCGACUGCUGAAACUUGAUUAAACCAUAUCAUUUAGAGGAAGGUGAAGUCGUAACA
Molecule: ribosomal RNA, 320 nt
Filed under: uncultured eukaryote
Lineage: Eukaryota
Description: partial 18S ribosomal RNA
Rfam family: Eukaryotic small subunit ribosomal RNA
Source: RNAcentral